CACCGCGGUUACACGGAAGGCCUAAGUUGAUAGAUUUCGGCGUAAAGAGUGGUUAAGAAUUUUAUAAAAGUAAAGUAGAACCCUUUCAAAGCAGUUAUACGCAUUUGAAUUGUGAACCCCAUCAACGAAAGUGGCUUUAUACCUCUGAUUCCACGAAAGCUAAGAAA
RNAcentral lists this ribosomal RNA (167 nucleotides) under Acanthaphritis unoorum. Its description in RNAcentral is "partial 12S ribosomal RNA". Lineage: Eukaryota; Metazoa; Chordata; Actinopteri; Pempheriformes; Percophidae. The record is from RNAcentral.